This 401-nucleotide long non-coding RNA is filed under the name Equus asinus (donkey). RNAcentral's name for it is "lncRNA (ENSEASG00005035041.1)". The record is from RNAcentral. Lineage: Eukaryota; Metazoa; Chordata; Mammalia; Perissodactyla; Equidae.
CGCGGCUGCUCUGCCUGCUUCUGCCCAUGGGGACUGGAGGAAGCGAGAGAGAGAGAGCCUUGGGGGCGGCGGGGUCCGCCGCGGGUCGGCAGCCCGAGGGAAUUCUGAAAUGGAGAUGGCUGCAGGAAAAUUUGGAUCCAGAGGUUCCACCAGUGUUUUCAGGAUUUCUCCACCCUUCUUCCAUUUCUCAGUCUGUUACCUCUGCCUGGCUUCAUGCUCAGUCAGGCUUUCUCCACAUCACAGCAAAGUGUCUACUGGUAGCUCCCAAUUCCAGAGAAGGAGGGAACAUCUUUCCUAAGAACCCCUGCAAAAGUCCAGGAGAAUACAGUGCUUGGCCAGGCCCAGGCAAUUGCUUCCCCCUAUACUGGUGUCAGAAGGAAAAAGGCUGAAUUUAUAAACAG